Molecule: long non-coding RNA, 3451 nt
Filed under: Equus caballus (horse)
Lineage: Eukaryota; Metazoa; Chordata; Mammalia; Perissodactyla; Equidae
Description: lncRNA (ENSECAG00000058122.1)
Source: RNAcentral
CCCAUUGAGGCAAAUGAGUAAGGAGAAAGGGGCAGCUGUAAGCAGGAGGCUGUGUCCUACCAGUUCCAAGGUGAGAGGAAAAUUGUCCCAGAGCUUGGGUUGGCCAGGCUAACAGUCAAAGCCAGGAAUGGCUCAGGUGAUGAUAUGUACAGAUCUUUCUUCUACUCUCUGCAGUGGAACUUCGACUGUUGAGAACUGACCAGCCUCCUCUGCCCUACCCACUCUGACACACACACACAUGCCCUGAGGCGUGGGACCUCCAGCUUGCAGUGGGAAGACAGAGAGCGGUUACGUUUGUUUGACAUAACUACAAAGGACUGAGCCUCUUCCCAGCAGAGCAAGUUCCAUUCUUGGAAGCUUUUGCUUCUUAAUUGAUGAGAUCUGCAUCUUGCACUAGGACAAAAUGAAGGGUUGGUAGUCCUACACUUCUGGCUCCCACAGGUGUGGAUGGUGGCAAAGGUGCCCCGAAGGCAAGGCUGAUAAUUGCUGUGACCACAUCUGAGUUGGAAUUACUUCUGACCAAAUAUAGGAGCAAAAGUGCCUCCAAACACAGGCAUUUUCUUAGUAGUGCUGCCCCCCGAAAGUCAAAGGGGGUACCAUGGCUGGAUGACCAGGUAUUCUGACUGCAGGAAAAAGUAGAAACGUCCCCUUAAAAAUUUUGGCGUUGUCCCUCUGACUGUAAGAGUCACACUUUGACGAUGAGCACCCCAGGAGCUCAGAAUGAUGGUGGGAAGGCCCCAAGCACAAGUUUGGUGAUGCCCUCCUCCAUCCAUCAUAUCACACAGGCCCCAGGUGCUGUGACUGUAGGCAGGAACACAAGGGGCUGCAAGCACAGUUGUGGCACUGGCUCUACAACUUCUAAAGAUGAACUCUGGCCGGUGUGCCCAGGUGCUCUGAUUGUAGACAUGAAGAGAAAUACCUCCAAGCAUACAAAUGGUGCUCAUCCCUCCCACUGCAGCACACAUGCUGUGGCCAGGGGGACCCCAGGAGCUCCAGCAGAAGGCAGGAAGAAGAUUUCCCAACACAGUUAUGGUGCUCAGUUCCUCUGACUGCAACAGAUAUGCUCUGGUACGCAGGAUCCCAGCUGAUCUGACCACUCGGAGGAAAAAAGUGUGACCUGGCACUCAUUUCUUCUCAGUGGUGCUGACUCCUUCAGUAGUCACGGAUGUGCCUUCACCCAGCUGGCUCCAAGUGCUCUGACUAUGAGGCAGAAAGGAAAGUGUCUUCCAGGACAGAUUUGCUGUACAAGUGAGCUCUCCAAUUGCAAGUGAAGUGCCAUAGUCAGCAGGACCCUGGUGCUCAGGUCUAAGUGUCCCCAACUUAGCGGACCAGUGUCUGCUUGGUCCUGCAUCAAAGUUGAGUCCUCCAGAAUGGAGCUGGGGCCUGGGCAGCCACAGUCACCCAAAGCUGCUGCCAUCCAUAAGGGCUGCAGAACCCACAACACAAAUGGGUCUGCAGUGGUGUUAGCAAACAAUGAGCUACUGUCCCCAGUGGUAGUUGCUCUUAAGACAGAAGUAGCGGCUGUGCCACUGGGAAAAAUGCCUGGGUGUCUCCGAAGUCUAGCUGGGUGCUGACAGGGAUGCCAAAGGUGGAAAAUGGGGAUGUUAACCCACAAAGCUCAUUGAAUUGUGCUGCCAUUGAGUGGCUGGGCUGUGGCAAAGCUCAAAUUGUAGCUUGUGCUAGAGCUGGCUGGCUUCCAAAAGGGAGAGAGCUGCCAUUGGGUGGCUCCAGGCUGCAGCCCAUCAGGAGCCCUAAAUGUGGGCCAAGGGAUGGUGGUGGUUCCCAGGUCAAAGGGAGUUUGAAAGUUGCGUUUGGGCUGCUGACUGUGCAGGCAGGCUGGUGGAAACUGGGUCUGAGGCAAUGCUGCCACAGGGAGACAUCUUCUCAGAACGAGGAAGUGCCAUGGAAAAUAAAAAGAAGUUCUCCCUAAAGCCUGGGUGAGACCUGGAGAUAAGAGCCUGGGAAGAGAAAGUGGCGUCCUUGUCAGUGAUACCAAAGUCCAAAGCAGGCUGGCGUGCUGGUUGUGAUGGUAGACGGACUAUAUGAAAAAGAUAGAAGAAUCCACAAACAUAGGUUUUGGUGACUCCAUUCUGUAGGAGGCAAGUGUGACAGAGAGGACUGAGGUGAUAGGAGAUACGGGGAGGUUAAAAUAGAAGAUGCUGCAGCUAUGACUGAGGGAUGGGAAUGCAAGGGCCUCUGUUCUCAUUACUAAAUGGAACCCCAAAAGUGAGCUUGACUCUAUAGGGAGAAAGAGAGUCAACAUGAACAGCAAAAGAAGGAGAACAAGAAAUUGCACGUCUUGUUUCAUAAUAAAGGUCAGCCAAGUCAGUGACUGGUAAUGUUUUAGUAACACAGGUCUGCAAGGGGAAAGUGGCUGAGGCAGUGCAGUCUGACAUGGCCUGUGUCAUCCCCCAAGACCUUAUUAAGCCACUAUGGCUCAACUACCUUCUCCAAGCCCAGGUCUUCAGCAAUGGCUGUACAAGGAAGCUGAGGAUGUCAGAGCAGCUCACCUCCACCCUACGACAGUGGCAGUGGCACAGCGACUUUUGCAGGGAGGGCCCAAAACUGGCAGAUGUGGUGGUGAAGUCCUCCUUGACAGGUCUAAAAGCUUUUCUCCCUCUGUCUUCCUGGACAUCAGUGAGGUGGAGAACUGAGCUGAUGGCCUUCAUCAAGCACCGCCUUUGUCAACCUCUGGAGAAGCAGGAGCAGGAUGAAGUUGGACCAGAAAGGCUUGCUGCACCUGGAUCAGUCCUCUAAAGGGACAAGACACCUCCAGCAGGACCCAUGAGCUGGGAGUGGCAUGGCCUUUGGUGAAGGAGCUCAUAGAGAACAUAAGGUUUUUCUUACUCAAACUAUCUUCCGGGGCUUAGAUUGGAGGGUUCCCUUCAGAAGCCCAGGACUACACCUCAACGAAGUGACACUCCAGCGGCCUCCCAAGACCUAGAUGCUGACACUGUAUGGGGUCGCUUCUCUGAACGUCCUGCCUUCCGUCACUAGUUGAUCAUCCUUCUCUGUGCCUUUCCUGCAUUCUCCUAGGGCUCAGUUUCCUUCAGGCAAGGAUCCGGGGGAUGACAGGAUGCCUCUCGCCUCAUAAAGGCGACCAACUGCUCAGGUAGCCGACAGAGGAGGAUCCAUUUGUUUCUGGAGAAGGGAUAUUUACCGUUCUUGGGCGACCCUUACUGACGAACAGCCUGGAGGUUCGAGCAGCCAGCACCAGCAUCUUCAGAGCCAACAAGGAGCCCCCAGACGGGCACUGAGCCUGCGGGACGGCGCUGUAACACCGAGCGGGUGGCAGCACGCCCUCGCGGCGGGCCAGCCUGGGAACAUGGCGGAGCAGAGGUGCGGCCACCGGGCGGGGAUCAACGGCGGGCGGGGAUCAACGGCUGGCGGGAAUCAACGGCGGGCGGGGAUCAACGGCUGGCGGGAAUCAACGGCGGGCGGGGCGAGGAUC